Peromyscus leucopus (white-footed mouse) is the source of this 646-nucleotide long non-coding RNA. RefSeq lists it as uncharacterized. The record is from RefSeq and is a predicted model, not a curated record. The transcript is spliced from 3 exons. NCBI's taxonomy places the organism in Eukaryota, Metazoa, Chordata, Mammalia, Rodentia, Cricetidae.
UCUAAAAAAAAAAAAAGACCAAGUAAUAUUGUCCCUCACUGUGCUACAGAGGGUACAUUCAUAGAGGCUAGGGAGUAUCCUUCAGCAAAGCCCAGACUAAUUACACCUAAAAUUCUCACUCUCCAUCUUCUGUCCUUGUCUUUCUUUAGUUCUUGUGACCAUUCCCAUCAGUGGAGAUGGCUGGUGUCUCAGAGAUGCAUCAUGGCCUUCUCCACAAACUCUAACUACGCUUGCAGAGGCCACUUCAAGUCUUUACAGGGUCGAGGAGAUUCCACCAACCACCCAGGAGAGGCACUGACUGAGAAAGCCUUCCCAGCUGCAGCGUCCCUCGGCUUUUCGCUUCAGCUUCUCACCAAGGGAGCUAUUCAAAUGCCUUCGUCGUCAACUGAGUCCUGAGGCCCAAGCUGUGUGAGUUUCAGACUAACCAGGGCUGCAUAUUGAGACCCUGCCUCAAAAGGAACAGCAAAACCCAAAGACUGGCCUGCAAUAUGUCUCUGGGCAGAGGUGCUCACUACAAGCCAAGCCUGAAGACUGGAGUCAGUCUCUCAGACCCCCACGAUGGAAAGAGAGAAGAAAGAGCUCCAUAAAGUUGUCCCCUGAUCACCACAGGCAGGCAGUGGCGUGCACCCCUCCCCUACUCCCCAAA